UUGGUCAAGCUACUAAGGGCAUACGGUGGAUGCCUUGGCGUCAGAAGGCGAUGAAGGACGUGGUAAGCUGCGAUAAGCCUCGGUGAGCCGCAAACAGGCUUUGACCCGAGGAUUUCCGAAUGGGGCAACCUGGCCGGACAAAAUCCGGUCAUCUUAAGCUGAAUACAUAGGCUUAAGAAGCGAACGGGGGGAAGUGAAACAUCUCAGUACCCCCAGGAAGAGAAAUCAAAUGAGAUUCCCUGAGUAGUGGCGAGCGAAACGGGAAUAGCCUAAACCGGAGAGACGCAAGUUUCUCCGGGGUUGCGGGACCCCGACGUGGGACCCAGAGGGAUAGUGGAAGGGCCUGGAAAGGCCUGCCAUAGCGGGUGAUAGCCCCGUACACGAAAUCCUGAAGGGCCCUAGGGAGUUCCCAAGUACCACGGGACACGAGAAAUCCUGUGGGAAUCCGGGAGGACCAUCUUCCAAGGCUAAAUACUCACUGACGACCGAUAGUGCACUAGUACCGUGAGGGAAAGGCGAAAAGAACCCCGAGAGGGGAGUGAAAUAGAACCUGAAACCGUAUGCUUACAAACAGUUCGAGGGCUAUGCCCGCAAGGGAAUGCCUGAGAGCGUGCCUUUUGCAUAAUGACUCAGCGAGUUACUGUACGUGGCAAGGUUAAGCCGUUAGGUGGAGCCGUAGCGAAAGCGAGUCUGAAUAGGGCGAUCAGUCGCGUAUAGUAGACCCGAAGCGUGUUGAUCUACCCAUGGCCAGGGUGAAGGGUCGGUAACACGGCCUGGAGGCCCGAACUGGUGAUUGUUGCAAAAAUCUCGGAUGAGCUGUGGGUAGGAGUGAAAGGCUAAACAAAACACGUGAUAGCUGGUUCUUCCCGAAAUAUAUUUAGGUAUAGCCUCGCAAAUUAAGCACCGGGGGUAGAGCACUGGAUGGGCUAGGGCCUCUCACGAGGUACCAAACCUAACCAAACUCCGAAUACCGGUGACUUCUAUUGCGGGAGUCAGUCAGCGGGGGAUAAGCUCCGUUGUCGAGAGGGAAUCAACCCAGACCGCCAGCUAAGGUCCCUAAAUCAAGCUAAGUGGCAAAGGAUGUGGAACUACUUAGACACCCAGGAGGUUGGCUUAGAAGCAGCCAUCCUUUAAAGAAAGCGUAAUAGCUCACUGGUCUAGUGGUUCUGCGCCGAAAAUGUACCGGGGCUAAAGCUUGAUACCGAAGCUGCGGGUUGGCAGAGUAAUCUGCCAGCGGUAGGGAAGCUUUCCAGUAACCUGCGAAGGCAGACCGUGAGGACUGCUGGAGGACCUGGAAGUGCUUAUGCUGAGAUAAGUAGCGUAAAUGUGGGUGCAAAACCCGCACGCCGAAAGUCUAAGGUUUCCUGGGGAAGGUUAAUCCGCCCAGGGUUAGUCGGGUCCUAAGCCGAGGCCGAAAGGCGUAGGUGAUGGAAAACAGGUUAACAUUCCUGUACCACCAGACAAGCGUUUGAGCGAAGGGGUGACGGAGCAGGGUAGGUCAUCCGGGUGACGGAAGUCCCGGUUUAAGCCCGUAGGCGGGAAGGAUAGGCAAAUCCGUCCUUCUGUUAACGUCGAGAGGUGAUGAGGAGGAAAGCCGCAAGGCGGACCGAACUGGCUAAUCCCAUACUUCCAAGAAAAGCCUCGUAGUGAGCUUGUCAGGUGCUCGUACUGCAAACCGACUCUGGUAGACGAGUAGAGAAUACUAAGGCGCUUGAGAGAACCCUGGUUAAGGAACUCGGCAAUCUAGCCCCGUAACUUCGGGAGAAGGGGUGCCCUCGCCGGUUGUCCGGACUUGCUCCGGAAGGCUGGCUGGGGGCCGCAGUGAAAUGGGGGUUGCGACUGUUUAACAAAAACACAGGACUCUGCUAACUCGCAAGAGGAUGUAUAGGGUCUGACUCCUGCCCGGUGCCGGAAGGUUAAGGGGACGGGUUAUUCGCUUCGGCGGAGAAGCUCGGAACCGAAGCCCCGGUAAACGGCGGCCGUAACUAUAACGGUCCUAAGGUAGCGAAAUUCCUUGUCGGGUAAGUUCCGACCUGCACGAAUGGAGUAACGAUCAUCCCCGCUGUCUCGACCAGGGACUCAGCGAAAUUGAAUUGCCAGUGAAGAUGCUGGCUACCCGCAUCAAGACGGAAAGACCCCGUGCACCUUUACUAUACCCUGGUAUUGGACAUUGGAAUAGUUUGUGUAGGAUAGGUGGGAGGCUAUGAACCGGAGGCGCUAGCUUUCGGGGAGCCGACGUUGAAAUACCACCCUGAUUAUUCUGAUGUUCUAACCUUGGUCCGUCAUCCGGGCCAGGGACAGUGCCAGGCGGGUAGUUUGACUGGGGCGGUCGCCUCCCAAAUCGUAACGGAGGCGCGCGAAGGUUCCCUCAGGCUGAUUGGAAACCAGCCGGCGAGUGCAAAGGCAUAAGGGAGCUUAACUGCAAGACCUACAAGUCAAGCAGAUGCGAAAGCAGGUCUUAGUGAUCCGGUGGUCCCGCGUGGAAGGGCCAUCGCUCAACGGAUAAAAGGUACGCCGGGGAUAACAGGCUGAUCGGGCCCAAGAGUUCACAUCGACGGCCCGGUUUGGCACCUCGAUGUCGGCUCAUCGCAUCCUGGGGCUGGAGCAGGUCCCAAGGGUUCGGCUGUUCGCCGAUCAAUAGCGGUACGUGAGCUGGGUUCAGAACGUCGUGAGACAGUUCGGUCCCUAUCUGAUGUGGGCGCAGGAGAUUUGAGGGAAGCUGUCCUUAGUACGAGAGGACCGGGAUGGCGGGACCUCCAGUAUUCCAGUUGUUCUGCCAAGGGCAACGCUGGUUAGCUGUGUCCCGAAGGGAUAACCGCUGAAAGCAUCUAAGUGGGAAGCCCCUCCCAAGAUAAGAUCUCCCGGGCCGUAAGGCUCCUAAAGGUCACUUGGAGACUACAAGUUUGAUAGGCCGGGUGUGUAAGCGCCGCAAGGCGUUAAGCUAACCGGUACUAAUCGACCGUGAGGCUUGACCAAUUU
This 2979-nucleotide ribosomal RNA is filed under the name Deltaproteobacteria bacterium GWC2_55_46. RNAcentral describes it as "bacterial LSU rRNA". It matches the Rfam family "Bacterial large subunit ribosomal RNA". The record is from RNAcentral. Lineage: Bacteria; Deltaproteobacteria.